UACGGAGGGUGCAAGCGUUAAUCGGAAUCACUGGGCGUCAAAGGCACGUAGGCGGCUUGAUAAGUCAGGUGUGAAAUCCCUGGGCUCAACCUGGGAAUGGCAUUUGAUACUGUUGAGCUAGAGUCUGGUAGAGGGAGGGGGAAUUCCAGGUGUAGCGGUGAAAUGCGUAGAGAUCUGGAGGAACACCGGUGGCGAAGGCGGCCUCCUGGGCCAAGACUGACGCUGAGGUGCGAAAGCGUGGGGAGCAAACAGG
This 253-nucleotide ribosomal RNA is filed under the name uncultured bacterium. RNAcentral describes it as "partial 16S ribosomal RNA". It matches the Rfam family "Bacterial small subunit ribosomal RNA", at positions 524 to 776 of the family's 1533-position model. The record is from RNAcentral.